AUUAAGCGACAAGGAAGACAGAGCUA
This 26-nucleotide small RNA is filed under the name Arabidopsis thaliana (thale cress). Its description in RNAcentral is "ATSL128120". The record is from RNAcentral. Lineage: Eukaryota; Viridiplantae; Streptophyta; Magnoliopsida; Brassicales; Brassicaceae.